Fukomys damarensis (Damara mole-rat) is the source of this 266-nucleotide unclassified non-coding RNA. Its record names the gene 7SK. It matches the Rfam family "7SK RNA". From Rfam's summary of the family: 7SK was discovered as an abundant small nuclear RNA in the mid-70s but a possible function has only recently been suggested. Lineage: Eukaryota; Metazoa; Chordata; Mammalia; Rodentia; Bathyergidae. The record is from Ensembl.
GAAGCGGGGCGGAGUGGCGGCCACAACUGUCAGCCCAUUGUACUUCCUGUGCGUCUCUCCUGGAGCUGCUGGCUUGGUGGAGCAGGACAACCCGCCCAGUGGAAGAGCCAUGUUCCUUCCUCACAUGUGCAGGUUUGCGAAUACUUGCACAUCUCCGCUCGAACUUCCAAACCAGCUCGCCAGGUCCUUUUCUAGAGAUUGUAGUAUAGUUAAACCUCCACGUUCCACACUCGGUGAGACACUGCGCAUGGCAGUAGGCCUUCAAU